RNAcentral lists this ribosomal RNA (425 nucleotides) under uncultured bacterium. Its description in RNAcentral is "bacterial SSU rRNA". It matches the Rfam family "Bacterial small subunit ribosomal RNA", at positions 917 to 1344 of the family's 1533-position model. The record is from RNAcentral.
GGGCCCGCACAAGCGGUGGAGCAUGUGGUUUAAUUCGAUGAUACGCGAGGAACCUUACCAGGACUUAAAUGUAAGUUGCAUGAUUCAGAAAUGAAUCUUUCUUCGGACUACUUACAAGGUGCUGCAUGGUUGUCGUCAGCUCGUGCCGUGAGGUGUCAGGUUAAGUCCUAUAACGAGCGCAACCCCUAUCGUUAGUUGCCAUCAAGUAAAGUUGGGAACUCUAGCGAAACUGCCGGUGCAAACCGUGAGGAAGGUGGGGAUGACGUCAAAUCAUCACGGCCCUUACGUUCUGGGCUACACACGUGCUACAAUGGCCGGUACAGAAAGCAGCCACUAUGCGAAUAGGAGCUAAUCUUUAAAAACCGAUCUCAGUUCGGAUCGCAGUCUGCAACUCGACUGCGUGAAGCUGGAAUCGCUAGUAAUCG